RNAcentral lists this non-coding RNA (118 nucleotides) under Geodermatophilus pulveris. RNAcentral's name for it is "SAM-IV sequence". It matches the Rfam family "SAM (S-adenosyl methionine) riboswitch aptamer". From Rfam's summary of the family: SAM-IV is a mRNA element that regulates gene expression via direct sensing of S-adenosylmethionine (SAM or AdoMet). SAM-IV riboswitches share conserved nucleotide positions with the previously described SAM-I riboswitches sequence analysis and molecular recognition experiments suggest that SAM-I and SAM-IV riboswitches share similar ligand binding sites, but have different scaffolds. Lineage: Bacteria; Bacillati; Actinomycetota; Actinomycetes; Geodermatophilales; Geodermatophilaceae. The record is from RNAcentral.
GCUCACGAGAGGCAGUGUCAAGCACCUGGCUGGCUGCCCGGCAACCUCGACUCCGUCCGAGGUGCUCCAGGGGAAGAGCCGGCCCGGGCGGCGUCCGUCACCCGGGCAAGGACGGAGC